CCGACUAUACGUGUUUGUGUUUUAGUUACAGAGGAGGGUGUGAAGUUUAGCACGAAAGGAGAAGGAGAUAUACUCUGGUGCAGGUACAAGUUAGCAUUCAUGUUACCGACAAGGGUACUCUCAUGUUUAGCACCAUUGGAGAUUUUGGGAUUUCAACUGUACUCCGCAAGCACGAGCCUUUUGAAGUCACUCUGAUAAAGAUGACUCAGCCUGUGAGCCUGAAAUUUGAAAUGAGAUGUGUGGACAUGCUCAGGAAGGCAACGCUGUUAUCUGAUACACUCACCAUCGAUCAGCUUGUCAAAGGAGCUGCCGGCGGCUGUGUUUGUGUACAAAAUUGCUGCCGAGAUGGGUUGUGUUCGCUUUCACUUGCCGCUUUAUUUUUUGCACACGUUUUCUGGAUUUGAUAUAAAGUAGGACCUGGCACGAACAGUGUUUGCUGGGGUUCAUGUGUAGCUAAAAGGAAUCAAGCUUUGAUGUUCUGUUGUUUUCUUGUCAUUUGCGGUUGGAAAGCACUUUCUACUCUUGGUUUAUAAGUGCUUUUCCAAUUACGGCCAAAUACAGUGAAAAGGCAUCUUCAAUCA
Molecule: long non-coding RNA, 581 nt
Organism: Glycine soja
Lineage: Eukaryota; Viridiplantae; Streptophyta; Magnoliopsida; Fabales; Fabaceae
Exons: 3
Source: RefSeq, a predicted model, not a curated record